RNAcentral lists this ribosomal RNA (482 nucleotides) under uncultured bacterium. RNAcentral describes it as "partial 16S ribosomal RNA". It matches the Rfam family "Bacterial small subunit ribosomal RNA", at positions 30 to 507 of the family's 1533-position model. The record is from RNAcentral.
UGAACGCUGGCGGCAGGCCUCACACAUGCAAGUCGAGCGGAUGAAGGGAGCUUGCUCCUGGAUUCAGCGGCGGACGGGUGAGUAAUGCCUAGGAAUCUGCCUGGUAGUGGGGGAUAACGUCCGGAAACGGGCGCUAAUACCGCAUACGUCCUGAGGGAGAAAGUGGGGGAUCUUCGGACCUCACGCUAUCAGAUGAGCCUAGGUCGGAUUAGCUAGUUGGUGGGGUAAAGGCCUACCAAGGCGACGAUCCGUAACUGGUCUGAGAGGAUGAUCAGUCACACUGGAACUGAGACACGGUCCAGACUCCUACGGGAGGCAGCAGUGGGGAAUAUUGGACAAUGGGCGAAAGCCUGAUCCAGCCAUGCCGCGUGUGUGAAGAAGGUCUUCGGAUUGUAAAGCACUUUAAGUUGGGAGGAAGGGCAGUAAGUUAAUACCUUGCUGUUUUGACGUUACCAACAGAAUAAGCACCGGCUAACUUCGUG